GGUCAAGCUACGAAGGGCUUACGGUGGAUACCUAGA
Molecule: ribosomal RNA, 36 nt
Filed under: Synechococcus sp. SR18
Lineage: Bacteria; Bacillati; Cyanobacteriota; Cyanophyceae; Synechococcales; Synechococcaceae
Description: partial 23S ribosomal RNA
Source: RNAcentral